This is a non-coding RNA of Streptomyces cyaneogriseus subsp. noncyanogenus, 75 nucleotides long. It matches the Rfam family "ASpks TB sRNA". The record is from Rfam. Lineage: Bacteria; Bacillati; Actinomycetota; Actinomycetes; Kitasatosporales; Streptomycetaceae.
CUUGAACGACCCCAGCCACAGCGGCCGUUCGGCGUCCCGGCCCUGCCCGUAGGUGGCCAGGAGGGCUUCCGCCUC